GAUAAGAACGUAGUGAAAUGCGAUAAGUAAUGUGAAUUGCAGAAUUCAGUGAAUCAUCGAAUCUUUGAACGCACAUUGCGCCCCUUGGUAUUCCGAGGGGCAUGCCUGUUCGAGCGUCAUUUCAACCCCUCAAGCUUAGCUUGGUGUUGGGCUGCGCCAGCGUUGCUGGCGGGCCUUAAAAUCAGUGGCGGUGCCGUUUGGGCUCCAAGCGUAGUAGCAUCUCUCGCUCUGGAGACCCGGCGGUUGCUUGCCAGACAAUCACUAAAAAAACAAAAGGUUUGACCUCGGAUCAGGUAGGGAUACCCGCUGAACUUAAGCAUAUCAAUAAGCGGAGGA
Molecule: unclassified non-coding RNA, 336 nt
Filed under: soil metagenome
Description: partial contains 5.8S ribosomal RNA, internal transcribed spacer 2, and large subunit ribosomal RNA
Rfam family: 5.8S ribosomal RNA (bases 4-119)
Source: RNAcentral